Molecule: ribosomal RNA, 407 nt
Filed under: Verrucomicrobiota bacterium
Lineage: Bacteria; Pseudomonadati; Verrucomicrobiota
Description: Verrucomicrobia bacterium partial 16S ribosomal RNA
Rfam family: Bacterial small subunit ribosomal RNA
Source: RNAcentral
UGGGGAAUAUUGGACAAUGGAGGAAACUCUGAUCCAGCAAUUCUGUGUGUGUGAAGAAGGCUUUAGGACUGUAAAACACUUUUAGUAGGGAAGAAAAAAAUGACGGUACCUACAGAAGAAGCAACGGCUAAAUACGUGCCAGCAGCCGCGGUAAUACGUAUGUUGCGAGCGUUAUCCGGAAUUAGUGGGCUUAAAGGGCAUCUAGGCGGUAAGACAAGUUGAAGGUGAAAACCUGUGGCUCAACCAUAGGCUUGCCUACAAAACUGUUGAACUAGAGUACUGGAAAGGUGGGUGGAACUACACGAGUAGAGGUGAAAUUCGUAGAUAUGUGUAGGAAUGCCGAUGAUGAAGAUAACUCACUGGACAGAAACUGACGCUGAAGUGCGAAAGCUAGGGGAGCAAACAGG